Molecule: ribosomal RNA, 288 nt
Filed under: uncultured Bacteroides sp.
Lineage: Bacteria; Pseudomonadati; Bacteroidota; Bacteroidia; Bacteroidales; Bacteroidaceae
Description: partial 16S ribosomal RNA
Rfam family: Bacterial small subunit ribosomal RNA
Source: RNAcentral
AAGUCGAGGGGCAGCAUUUCAGUUUGCUUGCAAACUGGAGAUGGCGACCGGCGCACGGGUGAGUAACACGUAUCCAACCUGCCGAUAACUCGGGGAUAGCCUUUCGAAAGAAAGAUUAAUACCCGAUGGCAUACGAAUAUCGCAUGAUAUUUUAUUAAAGAAUUUCGGUUAUCGAUGGGGAUGCGUUCCAUUAGUUUGUUGGCGGGGUAACGGCCCACCUAGUCUUCGAUGGAUAGGGGUUCUGAGAGGAAGGUCCCCACAUUGGAACUGAGACACGGUCCAAACUCC